AGUGAACGCUGGCGGUAGGCCUAACACAUGCAAGUCGAACGGCAGCACAGUAAGAGCUUGCUCUUACGGGUGGCGAGUGGCGGACGGGUGAGGAAUACAUCGGAAUCUACUUUUUCGUGGGGGAUAACGUAGGGAAACUUACGCUAAUACCGCAUACGCCCUACGGGUGAAAGCAGGGGAUCUUCGGACCUUGCGCGAUUGAAUGAGCCGAUGUCGGAUUAGCUAGUUGGCGGGGUAAAGGCCCACCAAGGCGACGAUCGGUAGCUGGUCUGAGAGGAUGGUCGGCCACACUGGAACUGAGACACGGUCCAGACUCCUACGGGAGGCAGCAGUGGGGAAUAUUGGACAAUGGGCGCAAGCCUGAUCCAGCCAUACCGCGUGGGUGAAGAAGGCCUUCGGGUUGUAAAGCCCUUUUGUUGGGAAAGAAAAGCAGCAGGUUAAUACCCCGCUGUUCUGACGGUACCCAAUGAAUAAGCACCGGCUAACUUCGUG
RNAcentral lists this ribosomal RNA (492 nucleotides) under uncultured bacterium. RNAcentral's name for it is "partial 16S ribosomal RNA". It matches the Rfam family "Bacterial small subunit ribosomal RNA", at positions 29 to 507 of the family's 1533-position model. The record is from RNAcentral.